UGUGCCGUGCAGCUCUCGUAAGAUCAUCUAAACCAAAGAUCCGGGAAAGAAUGGUCACCGAAGUCAACAGCUCAAAAGAGAUAACCCAACCAUAGUGGAAACUCCACAAGGAAGAGCUCUCUCAGAAGAACCUCGUCCGGCUAUGGUAUAUCACGUCUCAACAUCAUGUUGAUCCAACAUAAGCAGAGACAUGAGACCACGCUAAUCCUAGGUGUAUACUCGGGCCUGGGUUUUAG
RNAcentral lists this long non-coding RNA (236 nucleotides) under Lathyrus oleraceus (garden pea). RNAcentral's name for it is "Pisum sativum (pea) long non-coding RNA (PSAT_LNC023082)". The record is from RNAcentral. Lineage: Eukaryota; Viridiplantae; Streptophyta; Magnoliopsida; Fabales; Fabaceae.